This 460-nucleotide ribosomal RNA is filed under the name uncultured bacterium. RNAcentral describes it as "partial 16S ribosomal RNA". It matches the Rfam family "Bacterial small subunit ribosomal RNA", at positions 338 to 795 of the family's 1533-position model. The record is from RNAcentral.
CCUACGGGUGGCAGCAGUGAGGAAUAUUGGUCAAUGGGCGGGAGCCUGAACCAGCCAAGUCGCGUGAGGGAAGACGGUCCUAUGGAUUGUAAACCUCUUUAGUCGGGGAGCAAUGCCGGGCACGUGUGCCCGGAGGGAGAGUACCCGCAGAAUACGCUUCGACUAACUCCGUGCCAGCAGCCGCGGUAAUCCGGAGGAUGCGAGCGUUAUCCGGAUUGAUUGGGUUUAAAGGGGGCGGAGGCGGAUGUUUAAGUCAGCGGUAAAAUGUACGGGCUCAACCCGGGCCGGCCGUUGAAACUGGGGAUCUUGAGUGGGCUAGAAGUAUGCGGAAGGCGUGGUGUAGCGGUGAAAUGCAUAGAUAUCACGCAGAACUCCGAUUGCGAAGGCAGCAUACCGGCGCCCGACUGACGCUGAGGCACGAAAGCGUGGGGAUCGAACAGGAUUAGAUACCCGGGUAGUC